UUAAGCGACUAAGCGUACACGGUGGAUGCCCUGGCAGUCAGAGGCGAUGAAGGACGUGCUAAUCUGCGAAAAGCGUCGGUAAGGUGAUAUGAACCGUUAUAGCCGGCGAUGUCCGAAUGGGGAAACCCAGUGCAAUUCGUUGCACUAUCGUUAACUGAAUACAUAGGUUAACGAGGCGAACCGGGGGAACUGAAACAUCUAAGUACCCCGAGGAAAAGAAAUCAACCGAGAUUCCCCCAGUAGCGGCGAGCGAACGGGGAGCAGCCCAGAGUCUGAAUCAGCUUGUGUGUUAGUGGAACGGUCUGGAAAGUCCGACGGUACAGGGUGAUAGUCCCGUACACCAAAAUGCACAGGCUGUGAACUCGAAGAGUAGGGCGGGACACGUGGUAUCCUGUCUGAAUAUGGGGGGACCAUCCUCCAAGGCUAAAUACUCCUGACUGACCGAUAGUGAACCAGUACCGUGAGGGAAAGGCGAAAAGAACCCCGGCGAGGGGAGUGAAAAAGAACCUGAAACCGUGUACGUACAAGCAGUGGGAGCACCUUCGGGUGUGACUGCGUACCUUUUGUAUAAUGGGUCAGCGACUUAUAUUCUGUAGCAAGGUUAACCGUAUAGGGGAGCCGCAGGGAAACCGAGUCUUAACUGGGCGUUAAGUUGCAGGGUAUAGACCCGAAACCCGGUGAUCUAGCCAUGGGCAGGUUGAAGGUUGGGUAACACUAACUGGAGGACCGAACCGACUAAUGUUGAAAAAUUAGCGGAUGACUUGUGGCUGGGGGUGAAAGGCCAAUCAAACCGGGAGAUAGCUGGUUCUCCCCGAAAGCUAUUUAGGUAGCGCCUCGUGAAUUCAUCUUCGGGGGUAGAGCACUGUUUCGGCUAGGGGGUCAUCCCGACUUACCAACCCGAUGCAAACUACGAAUACCGAAGAAUGUUAUCACGGGAGACACACGGCGGGUGCUAACGUCCGUCGUGAAGAGGGAAACAACCCAGACCGCCAGCUAAGGUCCCAAAGUCAUGGUUAAGUGGGAAACGAUGUGGGAAGGCACAGACAGCCAGGAUGUUGGCUUAGAAGCAGCCAUCAUUUAAAGAAAGCGUAAUAGCUCACUGGUCGAGUCGGCCUGCGCGGAAGAUGUAACGGGGCUAAACCAUGCACCGAAGCUGCGGCAGCGACACUAUGUGUUGUUGGGUAGGGGAGCGUUCUGUAAGCCUGCGAAGGUGACCUGUGAGGGUUGCUGGAGGUAUCAGAAGUGCGAAUGCUGACAUAAGUAACGAUAAAGCGGGUGAAAAGCCCGCUCGCCGGAAGACCAAGGGUUCCUGUCCAACGUUAAUCGGGGCAGGGUGAGUCGACCCCUAAGGCGAGGCCGAAAGGCGUAGUCGAUGGGAAACAGGUUAAUAUUCCUGUACUUGGUGUUACUGCGAAGGGGGGACGGAGAAGGCUAUGUUAGCCGGGCGACGGUUGUCCCGGUUUAAGCAUGUAGGCUGGUUAUCCAGGCAAAUCCGGAUAAUCAAGGCUGAGGUGUGAUGACGAGGCACUACGGUGCUGAAGUAACAAAUGCCCUGCUUCCAGGAAAAGCCUCUAAGCAUCAGGUAACAUCAAAUCGUACCCCAAACCGACACAGGUGGUCAGGUAGAGAAUACCAAGGCGCUUGAGAGAACUCGGGUGAAGGAACUAGGCAAAAUGGUGCCGUAACUUCGGGAGAAGGCACGCUGGUGUGUAGGUGAAGCCCCUGCGGAUGGAGCUGAGACCAGUCGAAGAUACCAGCUGGCUGCAACUGUUUAUUAAAAACACAGCACUGUGCAAACACGAAAGUGGACGUAUACGGUGUGACGCCUGCCCGGUGCCGGAAGGUUAAUUGAUGGGGUUAUCCGUAAGGAGAAGCUCUUGAUCGAAGCCCCGGUAAACGGCGGCCGUAACUAUAACGGUCCUAAGGUAGCGAAAUUCCUUGUCGGGUAAGUUCCGACCUGCACGAAUGGCGUAAUGAUGGCCAGGCUGUCUCCACCCGAGACUCAGUGAAAUUGAACUCGCUGUGAAGAUGCAGUGUACCCGCGGCAAGACGGAAAGACCCCGUGAACCUUUACUAUAGCUUGACACUGAACAUUGAGCCUUGAUGUGUAGGAUAGGUGGGAGGCUUUGAAGCGUGGACGCCAGUCUGCGUGGAGCCAACCUUGAAAUACCACCCUUUAAUGUUUGAUGUUCUAACGUUGGCCCCUGACCGGGGUUGCGGACAGUGUCUGGUGGGUAGUUUGACUGGGGCGGUCUCCUCCCAAAGCGUAACGGAGGAGCACGAAGGUUAGCUAAUCCUGGUCGGACAUCAGGAGGUUAGUGCAAUGGCAUAAGCUAGCUUGACUGCGAGCGUGACGGCGCGAGCAGGUGCGAAAGCAGGUCAUAGUGAUCCGGUGGUUCUGAAUGGAAGGGCCAUCGCUCAACGGAUAAAAGGUACUCCGGGGAUAACAGGCUGAUACCGCCCAAGAGUUCAUAUCGACGGCGGUGUUUGGCACCUCGAUGUCGGCUCAUCACAUCCUGGGGCUGAAGUAGGUCCCAAGGGUAUGGCUGUUCGCCAUUUAAAGUGGUACGCGAGCUGGGUUUAGAACGUCGUGAGACAGUUCGGUCCCUAUCUGCCGUGGGCGCUGGAGAAUUGAGGGGGGCUGCUCCUAGUACGAGAGGACCGGAGUGGACGCAUCACUGGUGUUCGGGUUGUCAUGCCAAUGGCACUGCCCGGUAGCUAAAUGCGGAAGAGAUAAGUGCUGAAAGCAUCUAAGCACGAAACUUGCCCCGAGAUGAGUUCUCCCUGAGACUUUAAGUCUCCUGAAGGAACGUUAAAGACGAUGACGUUGAUAGGCCGGGUGUGUAAGCGCAGCGAUGCGUUGAGCUAACCGGUACUAAUGAACCGUGAGGCUUAACCUU
This 2900-nucleotide ribosomal RNA is filed under the name Klebsiella pneumoniae. RNAcentral describes it as "bacterial LSU rRNA". It matches the Rfam family "Bacterial large subunit ribosomal RNA". The record is from RNAcentral. Lineage: Bacteria; Pseudomonadati; Pseudomonadota; Gammaproteobacteria; Enterobacterales; Enterobacteriaceae.